This 1487-nucleotide ribosomal RNA is filed under the name uncultured bacterium. Its description in RNAcentral is "bacterial SSU rRNA". It matches the Rfam family "Bacterial small subunit ribosomal RNA". The record is from RNAcentral.
UAGAGUUUGAUCUUGGCUCAGGACAAACGCUGGCGGCGUGCAUUACGCAUGCAAGUCGUACGGGGGUGUGGGGCUUCGGCUCCGCACCCUAGUGGCGAACGGGUGAGUAACGCGUGGGUGACCUGCCCCGAAGCGGGGGAUAACCUGCCGAAAGGUGGGCUAAUACCGCAUGAGGUCGGCCGUUCGUUCGGUCGACGAAAGUCUGGUCUGCUAUCAAGCGGGCUGGGCGCUUCGGGAUGGGCCUGCGUCCGAUUAGCUAGUUGGUAGGGUAAUGGCCUACCAAGGCGAAGAUCGGUAGCUGGUCUGAGAGGACGAUCAGCCACACUGGGACUGAGACACGGCCCAGACUCCUACGGGAGGCAGCAGCGAGGAAUCUUGGGCAAUGGGCGAAAGCCUGACCCAGCAACGCCGCGUGGGUGAUGAAGGCCUUCGGGUCGUAAAGCCCUUUUGUCGGGGAAGAUGAUGACGGUACCCGACGAAUAAGUCUCGGCUAACUACGUGCCAGCAGCCGCGGUAAUACGUAGGAGGCGAGCGUUGUCCGGAUUUACUGGGCGUAAAGAGCGCGUAGGCGGUUCGCUAAGUCCGAUGUAAAAUCUCCCGGCCUAACUGGGAGGGGUCAUUGGAAACUGGCGGACUGGAGUGCGGCAGAGGGAGGUGGAAUUCCCGGUGUAGUGGUGAUAUGCGUAGAUAUCGGGAGGAACACCAGUGGCGAAGGCGGCCUCCUGGGCCGUAACUGACGCUGAGGCGCGAAAGCGUGGGGAGCGAACCGGAUUAGAUACCCGGGUAGUCCACGCAGUAAACGAUGGACACUAGGUAUGGGAGGUAUCGACCCCUUCCGUGCCGCAGCUAACGCAAUAAGUGUCCCGCCUGGGGAGUACGGCCGCAAGGCUAAAACUCAAAGGAAUUGACGGGGGCCCGCACAAGCAGCGGAGCGUGUGGUUUAAUUCGACGCAACGCGAAGAACCUUACCAGGGCUUGACAUGCCGGAGUAGGACCUCGAAAGGGGGACGACCCGUAAAGUCGGGAAUCGGCACAGGUGCUGCAUGGCUGUCGUCAGCUCGUGCCGUGAGGUGUUGGGUUAAGUCCCGCAACGAGCGCAACCCUCGUCGUUAGUUGCACUCUCUAACGAGACUGCCGAGCUAAACUCGGAGGAAGGUGGGGAUGACGUCAAGUCAGCAUGGCCCUUACGUCCUGGGCUACACACACGCUACAAUGGGCGGUACAAUGGGUCGCCAAGCCGCGAGGCGGAGCUAAUCCCAUCAAAGCCGUCCUCAGUUCGGAUUGCAGGCUGAAACCCGCCUGCAUGAAGUCGGAGCUGCUAGUAACCGCAGGUCAGCAUACUGCGGUGAAUACGUUCCCGGGCCUUGUACACACCGCCCGUCACGUCAUGAAAGCUGGCAACACCUGAAGUCCAUGGGCUAACCCGCAAGGGAGGCAGUGGCCGAGGGUGGGGCUGGUGAUUGGGACGAAGUCGUAACAAGGUAACC